CCAGACUCCUACGGGAGGCAGCAGUGAGGAAUAUUGGUCAAUGGGCGGAAGCCUGAACCAGCCAAGUCGCGUGAGGGAUUAAGGCCCUGCGGGUCGUAAACCUCUUUUGCCGGAGAGCAGUGGUCCGGACGCGUCCGGACCGGGAGAGUACCCGGAGAAAAAGCAUCGGCUAACUCCGUGCCAGCAGCCGCGGUAAUACGGAGGAUGCGAGCGUUAUCCGGAUUUAUUGGGUUUAAAGGGUGCGUAGGCGGGCAUUUAAGCCGGCGGUCAAAUGUCGGGGCUCAACCUCGUCGAGCCGUUGAAACUGGGUGCCCUGAGUGGGCGAGAAGUACGCGGAAUGCGUGGUGUAGCGGUGAAAUGCAUAGAUAUCACGCAGAACUCCGAUUGCUAAGGCAGCGUACCGGCGCCCAACUGACGCUGAAGCACGAAGGCGUGGGUAUCGAACAGGAUUAGAUACCCCUGUAACC
This 467-nucleotide ribosomal RNA is filed under the name uncultured bacterium. RNAcentral describes it as "bacterial SSU rRNA". It matches the Rfam family "Bacterial small subunit ribosomal RNA", at positions 331 to 796 of the family's 1533-position model. The record is from RNAcentral.